Molecule: ribosomal RNA, 254 nt
Filed under: uncultured prokaryote
Description: partial 16S ribosomal RNA
Rfam family: Bacterial small subunit ribosomal RNA
Source: RNAcentral
UACGGAGGAUGCGAGCGUUAUCCGGAUUUAUUGGGUUUAAAGGGUGCGUAGGCGGCCGAGUAAGUCAGCGGUGAAAUUUUGCAGCUUAACUGUAACAGUGCCGUUGAUACUGCCAGGCUAGGAUUUGGUUGCUGUGGGUGGAAUGUGUGGUGUAGCGGUGAAAUGCUUAGAUAUCACACAGAAUAUCGAUUGCGAAGGCAGCUCACAAAGCCAAGAUUGACGCUGAGGCACGAAAGUGUGGGGAUCAAACAGGA